AUUGAACGCUGGCGGCAGGCCUAACACAUGCAAGUCGAACGGUAACAGGAAGAAGCUUGCUUCUUUGCUGACGAGUGGCGGACGGGUGAGUAAUGUCUGGGAAACUGCCUGAUGGAGGGGGAUAACUACUGGAAACGGUAGCUAAUACCGCAUAACGUCGCAAGACCAAAGAGGGGGACCUUCUGGCCUCUUGCCAUCGGAUGUGCCCAGAUGGGAUUAGCUAGUAGGUGGGGUAACGGCUCACCUAGGCGACGAUCCCUAGCUGGUCUGAGAGGAUGACCAGCCACACUGGAACUGAGACACGGUCCAGACUCCUACGGGAGGCAGCAGUGGGGAAUAUUGCACAAUGGGCGCAAGCCUGAUGCAGCCAUGCCGCGUGUAUGAAGAAGGCCUUCGGGUUGUAAAGUACUUUCGGCGGGGAGGAAGGGAGUAAAGUUAAUACCUUUGCUCAUUGACGUUACCCGCAGAAGAAGCACCGGCUAACUCCGUG
Molecule: ribosomal RNA, 490 nt
Filed under: uncultured bacterium
Lineage: Bacteria
Description: partial 16S ribosomal RNA
Rfam family: Bacterial small subunit ribosomal RNA
Source: RNAcentral